CGCCUACGCUCUGUCUCUGUCUCUCUCUCUCAAAAAUGAAUAAAUGUUAAAAUAUAAACAAACAAACAAAAAUACUGCAAGACUUUUGAGUCAGCCUGGUGGUAUUCUAACUGGUUUGGCAAGGUCUUCUCUAUGUGUCUUAACAACUAUCAGAAAUAACGCAUAACCACAAGAGUGCCUCCUGGAAUGCCUUGAUUUCAUGCAUUGUAAUAAAAUGAAUCAUAUACGCUUAAGGAAAGGAUUUAAAAAAUGUAAAGCAAGCAAGCAGUACAAGCCCAAAUGACGCUGCUACCAUUGAGCAGUGCUGAAUACGCAAUUACAUGCUGAACAAUAGGUAUUAACAAAUCAGGCCGAAUGCUCGUGAGAAAAUGGUCCUCUAAUUAAAUAAAAGGAGAAUCCGAGUUUCUUGUUGCAGGGAUUGUUGGUGGGAUUAAAGGAUUGUUCUGGAGCCCAGUUCACAGAAUGAGAGACCUGGCGGCCUGCCUCAGAGCUCUGCAGCCCCCACCUGCUGAGAUGCCCCAAGCCCUGAGACCAACUUGGUUUCACUAAGUGGGAGGAUUAAGACAGAUCUUGACCAUCGCUCCCCCUUUGGUCAGCAAAGAAAAAGAAAAAGAAAAUGAGGAAAACAGCUCAUUUUUCACUUGUCAUUUCACGGAAUGAGUCUAAGACCCAGGGUGGAUUCCCAUCUUUCAUUUAUUACAGAGAGCUACAGGAAUUUCCUCUCCGCAAUAGGAUUCUAUGUGCAGGACUAUUGUAGCAUUGGAGUCACGUGGAGCUGUGAUGAUGGCACUAAGAAAAACCCGGAGUUAAAAAAACUCACCUGGAUCUAAUGAACUACACUGCCACCUGCUAGGCUGUGACAUUGGGAAAAAUACUCAACCUCUCUGGUGUCGAUUUCAUCAUGAUAAACUGGGAAUAAUGGUCAAUCUAAUGUCAUGAAGUUGUUGGGAGAAUUCAGUGAUUCGAAUUAUAUAGGGCAAUUAGCUACUGUAACACCUGCUCCAUUGGAACUGCUUAGUACAGGACAAGAAUUACUGUUAGUACUUUCAAGAGACCAAAUGAAUAUUUUCUUCCUUAAUAAAAUGGUAACCUCUAAGCUAUCCAGAGGUUUUAGUCAGGGAAGAGAUAGGUGUUAUGUCAUUUGUAAUUUUUUAUCACAGUAUCAUUACCUGUCUAUUUAAAUAUUCAGCAUAUAAUAUGUAUAUGUAUAUGUAUAUGUAUAUGUAUAUGUAUAUGUAUACUUAUGUGCACCUGUAUAUGUAUGUGUGUGUAUUGUUAUGGCUGCAAUGCUUGUACCCCCCAACCCCAAAUUCAAUUCUUUGGGGAAAUCCUAACCCCAAAGAUGAUGAUAUUUGUAGGCAAAGCCUGUUGGGUGAUUAGGUCAUGAGUGGGGAACCCUCACAAAUGGGAUUAGUGCUAAAGAGACCCCACAGAGUUCCCUAGCCUCUUGAGUCUUCCAGGAUACUACAAGAAGUCUACAACACAGAAGCUGGCUUUUUGACCUCUGACUUCCAGCCUCCAAAACUGUGAGCAAUACAGUUGUUGUUUAUAAGCUGCCCGGUCUGUGGUAUUGUUAUAUACAUCGCAUAUUUCUAUAGCAGCCUGAAUGGACUCACAUAUAUGCAUAUGUGGAUAGGUACUUAGGUAGCUAGCUAGCUAGCUAGUCAGACAGGUAGAUAGAUAUCCAUGUAACUAACACUCCGAUCAAGAUAUGGAAUAUUGCCAUCACCCCAAUAUUUCUUUCCAGUGUAUUUCUUUCCAGUCUGUCAUCCUCUCCUCUGGAGUCAAACCCUAUUCUGACUUUUAUCCCUGUGAACCAGUUUGUCUGUUCUUGAACUUCCAUAUAGAUGGACUCAUACAGAAAACACUUUUUGCUUUUGGCUUUUUUAGUUCUAUGUAGUGUUUUUGAGAUUCAUCCAUGUUGUUGCAGGCAUUAGUCAUCUGGUUUUUUUCAUUCCUGGACUAUUCCACUCUGUGAAUAUAACACGUUGUCUCUUGUUCAUGGGCAUUUGCGUUAUUUCCAGUGUUGUUUGUAAUUCGAAGUGCUUCAGUUGAGAUGGCAUGGUAUAUAUGCGUUUGCAUUAGAUGACUUUAUUCUACAUCUUAGGAUAUGUCACAUUUUAUAGGCCUUUCCAAGCUUAAAUGAAUAGGGUUUAAGAAUCCAUUAAACCUAGAUUGUAUGCUUCAGAAUGGAACUUUAGAUUCUAAAGGAAAGAUAGAUGAUAGACAGAUAGAUAGAUAGAUAGAUAGACAGAGGUGUAGAUAGAUUCCAAAAUAGCCCAUUUACAGUUGUAGAUUCCUAGGUUUUUUGUUUGCCUGACUCCUGCCAGUGAAAUAUUGUUGCAUUUAUCCUAAGGGGAUCUUGCUGUCAGAGCAUUUAGGACAGCGGGCUGACCCUUUUUGAGUUUACUUAUUAGUUUAUAAACUGU
This is a long non-coding RNA of Prionailurus viverrinus (fishing cat), 2429 nucleotides long. RefSeq lists it as uncharacterized. The transcript has 4 exons. The record is from RefSeq and is a predicted model, not a curated record. NCBI's taxonomy places the organism in Eukaryota, Metazoa, Chordata, Mammalia, Carnivora, Felidae.